GUAAAAAUAAUUCCAUAUACAAACAUUAAGCCUACGGGGAUUUGUAGGAAAAAGGGUAUUUCCACUCCCCAUUUGCUUUGUUUUUAGAAUCCUCUCAACAAUUCCCCGUUCUUCCCUUUCUGAGAUCAUUCUUGUUAUCGCUCCUCUCUCUCUCUCUCUCUCUGAUAUUUGGAGAGCUGAGAGAGUCCUCGAAUUCUCUCACCAAUCUUCUGAUAGGAAUCAAUCCAUGUGGUUUACGAGUGAUCGGCACGAAAUUUACGUGCCCUUUGACCGAAUCUUCGAUCCAAUUCAUCAAAGCUAGGGUUUUUCUAUGCCCAAGCUAGGGUUUUCGUGGUCGAUCACGGGAUCACUUUAUCCUUCUUAAUUAUCCCUGUUUUGGAGCCAGAUUCGCCUUCUGGGUUCUCCGUGAGGCCUCUUCUGGUUUGGAUUCCAUGGCUUUUUACCACCCGGGCCCGGGCUCGGCGUCGAGCUCGAGCUCCGGGCACCACUUCUUGAAUUCCCCCUUUGGGGACACGACCUACACGAAGGUCUUCGUUGGAGGGCUGGCGUGGGAGACCAAGAGCGAGACGAUGCGCCGCUACUUCGAGCAGUUCGGCGAGAUCCUCGAGGCCGUCGUGAUAACUGACAAGAACACCGGGAGGUCGAAGGGCUACGGUUUUGUGACUUUUCGGGACCCAGAAUCUGCAAGAAGAUCAUGCGCAAACCCGAGCCCCGUUAUAGAUGGCAGACAGGCAAAUUGUAACUUGGCUGCACUGGGGCGGCCUCGGCCUGUUCCAGCUUUUGCACGCCCAAGGUCAGCUGGCCCCUACUUUGGAGCCGUUCCAGUUCCAAGAGGGACUUACGUCGGAGGUUCUGCUCAUCACCAACCGAUUCCUUUUGGCUACCAACAAGGGUUUUCAUAUCCACCGUAUGGUUACACCACAUAUGGAUCCGAAUACGUCUAUCCACAGAGUGUCUACGGUCCUUAUAUGGGGCAACAAUACUUUCAACUUUAUGGCAUUCCCGGAACUGUUAACACAGCUAUCUACCCAUUUGGCCAAUUAGGCCAGCCUAUCCCUGGUGGGCAUGGUUAUGCAACAGUUCAAGGCUACACAAUACCAGGCCAUAAUUUCGUGCAGUUCAGUGGGCCAAAUGUCAAUGGAGUGACUACUGCACCUCGACCCACAAUUCAAGCACCAUAUCCAGCAGGCGUAGCAGCACCAAUCCCACCUCCACCUCACUACUUAGUUACUGCUCAUUCUCCACAGUUUACACAGGGCAGUAGCUCAGACCAAACAGCUGGUUGAAAUGUGCAUCAGGGUGAUAACAUCUUGAGGAGGUAUCCUUAGAUUGCAGCAGGACUAAGAACAGCAGAACUGCUAUGUCAGUCGCAUGCAUUCUUGCCUUGCAAGCUAUCAUCUUUGCAUUCUAGAGACAAAAUGUGAUCCACCUUGUAAACUGAAACUUGGAUCAGACUGCAGACAUGUUGUAAUCAAGAAAACGAUGAAACUAGAAUGGAACCUUUUUCUUCAAAAUUCAUUCAUGGUAUGCACCAAAAUUUGUUAUGUCAAACGGAAUCGAGAGUACUGCUGUUAAUGAACAAGUUUAACCCACUUGAGCUAAAGGUCAUAACAGCUAAUGACAAAGUAUUUGAUUGUCAGUACAGCUAGAUUUUUGCUGCUGUGUGAUUGUCCAAUAUUGUAGGUGUGAAGUCAGGAGGAUCUGGAAGGGGAUUUGCAUAGGAGCAAGAAGUGAGGAAGAUGAAUUGGAAAGACAUGGGAGGGAAACAAAGAUUGGGAAAGGGAAUGGCUAGUUGGAGAGAGGACAGAGGAAUAAAAGAGGAAAGGAGUUGCCUUUCAUCUGAUGUGAUUUUUAAAAAGUUACCUUUUAUAUGGUUUUCCCUAGUCAUGGUCACCAGAGAGACACCAGUCAUCUAGUUGCUCCGAUGGAUGGAGUUAACUCGUGAGAGCUUGGAUUGCUCAUCUCGCUGCUGUCAAGUGUCUGUAAAAUUUCAUGCCCUGCUGGAAUUUGUGAUGACCGGUGGAGCAUGGACGGAUGGAUCCCAAAAUUGGAUCCAACAACUUGGUAGAAUACAUUAUGGAUGCCGGAAUUGGAGUCCGAUAAUCCAUAUGGUGUAUAGUGUGAGCCACCAUGGAAUCAAAACGAUUCUUUGGAAUUCCGAAGCUUGCAUCUCAUUGUGCAGAGUCAUGUUUGUUGUGGUUCCUGGGUGGAUUGGUCUUUCAUUGUAGUAAACCAUGAUCUUGCAGAUGCAUAUCAGUGGUUGUCGGUGGACUAACAUUGGCUAGUUUUUCUAAACAGACCGGUAAUCAAAUGAAGGGCCUCAAAAACUUGAUGCUGGCUCAUUGGUUAUAUGUUUGGAACUCUCGAGUCUUCUUCGCCUUCCUCCCAAUCUAAAUUUGUGCGGUUAUGCUGUUGUGAUGUUGGGAUGCUGUGCAAAGUUAUAUCUACCAGUGUUUGGGUUUGCCAUGAAAUGUUGGAUGGGUUCAAUAAAAUAGACUCACUGUAAGUUUAUCGGUACGUUCACAGAAGCUUCUGCAGUUCCUGACCAAAUUGGUGCCUAUGCAGGCAGGAGCCAUCUCGAGCUGUUUCCAAGACCGGAAAUCCAAGUGGUUCUUGUAUGCUUCAUCACCACAACAGAGGCGGAGCAAAAGACUGAUCCUAGGCUGCUGGUAUUCAGCACAAUCUCAGUGCCCAGCCCCGACGCAGUGCUUGUGCUUGCUAGUAGUAAACUCUAUCAAUGAUGAAGGAUUUGGGCGAGGCUGUAGUCUAUUGGACUGGUGCGAUUGAACGUAUUCAUAGAUCAGAUAACAACCAAAAUGUCAGGAGAAAGGCGAGGUAUUAAUGAUCUCCAGCUGCAGAUUUAAAACCUUGUCCUUUUUGGAAUUCAAGUGAAAUGAUAUAAAUGAUGAGAGGUAGGAUAAGUGGUUGUGUCGUUGAGGUGGAGAACCCCCCGUCCUCGUUUUAGGCAAGCCUCGGAUUGUUCUUGUUCCAUGCCGUGUUGAAGUGAGUGGAGAUCUGCACACAGCUGAUGUAAGAAGCUCCACGUUUCCUGGCAAAUGCUGUCUCCAUUAAAAUUUCAGUGUUCAAUCUGGAGCAGCCAUGUAAAUUUGAUCUGACAUUUAGCUCAUAUGAUAAGUUUUUAUAAUAAAUUCUUAUAAUAACUUAUUGUUUAAGAAAAAGAAAAAAAGAAAAAACAAA
Molecule: non-coding RNA, 3198 nt
Organism: Elaeis guineensis (African oil palm)
Lineage: Eukaryota; Viridiplantae; Streptophyta; Magnoliopsida; Arecales; Arecaceae
Source: RefSeq, a predicted model, not a curated record